RNAcentral lists this ribosomal RNA (450 nucleotides) under uncultured bacterium. RNAcentral describes it as "partial 16S ribosomal RNA". It matches the Rfam family "Bacterial small subunit ribosomal RNA", at positions 338 to 795 of the family's 1533-position model. The record is from RNAcentral.
CCUACGGGGGGCAGCAGUAAGGAAUAUUGGUCAAUGGAGGAAACUCUGAACCAGCCAUCCCGCGUGAAGGAUGAAGGGGCUCUGCCUUGUAAACUUCUUUUGUCUGGGGCGAAAAAGCUCGAUUUAUCGAGAACUGACGGUACCAGAAGAAUAAGCACCGGCUAACUCCGUGCCAGCAGCCGCGGUAAUACGGAGGGUGCAAGCGUCAUCCGGAUUCACUGGUGUGUAGGCGGGUGUAGAAGGCUGUGGUGAAAGGCUUGGGCUUAACCAUGGAAUUGCCAUUGAUACUGCAGAGCUUGAAUGAGGUUGAGGUUGGCGGAAUGUGACAUGUAGCGGUGAAAUGCUUAGAUAUGUCAUGGAACACCGAUUGCGAAGGCAGCUGACUGGACCUAUAUUGACGCUGAGGCACGAAAGCGUGGGGAGCGAACAGGAUUAGAUACCCCUGUAGUC